Molecule: long non-coding RNA, 1133 nt
Organism: Scophthalmus maximus (turbot)
Lineage: Eukaryota; Metazoa; Chordata; Actinopteri; Pleuronectiformes; Scophthalmidae
Exons: 2
Source: RefSeq, a predicted model, not a curated record
UUUGGCUUAAACUUGUCAUUAGGAAUCAUGGUAUUAAAAACUUAUUGCACCAUGUAACGACAACAAAUAACAACAACAAAAAAUUACACAAUCUUGUAUUCAGGGUUCAUACACCUUUUCCAAAGUGAAAUUCGAGCACUUUUCAAGCAUUUUCAAGGUCGAUUUUCAUAUUUCUACGAAUACAUACGUUGAAUGAGAUCGUAUUAUGCUAUAAACAACCCAAAUCGUGUUUUGUAAUAACAGAAGGAUAAGAAAUUAUUGGACACACAAGAUAUAUGGUUUAAAAUGUGAAAUGGGUUUGUUGUGAGAAAAAAGAUCUGAUACAAUCUAAGCCUUUUCAAGCACUUUAUCCAAAAUUCAAGCACUUUUCAAACCUUGAGAACACAACUUUAAAAUUCAAGCAUUGUUAAGGAUUUCGGGCACCCGGACGAGCCCUGUACAUUGGUCCCUGAGAGUCUUGUUUUCACCGUGUUAUUCUCUUGGCCACCGGGACGCGGUUGUCGUGGGGAAAUGACGACUCGUUUUACGGCACAAACGAACGAGGCGAGUGACGGAAAAAUGAUAAACAAGAGUGAACAUUCAGUCCAUGGAGAGAGAGAGAGAGAGAGAGAGAGAACAAAAACAAACUCUGGCACUUGUUGGGAAGCUUCAACAACGAAAUGCAGUUGUCUUCUUUCUACCUGAUCAUGCUGUUGACAACUUCCUCCGGAGCGCUGAGGUGAAAGUACCUGUGUCCUCACCGGGCGUCUUGCGACUGCCGCGUCUUUACGACAGUGACCAAACAGUAAUACCACCUGUAACCGCUAGGGGAGGGGGGGCACGGAAGUUGCCUGUCGCCGCUCUGUAAUCGAUUACUUGAGAAAAUAAUCAUUAGGGCUGCAACUAACGAUUGUUUUAAUAAUCUAAUAAAUUGAUUAUUUUCCUCAAUUAGUCAAUUAGUUUUUUGCUUAAAAUGUCAUUAAAUUGUAAAAAAUCUUGAUCCUUGUGCCCCAAAAAACGAGAUGAUGUUUUGUGAUUAUCCAAACACCAAAGCUAUUUAGUUCACUGUCAGAGAGGAGCAAAGAAACUAGAACAUAUUCACAUUUAAGAAGCUGAAAUCAGAGAAUUUUGACUUUCUUUUUUUUUUUUUUUUU